Molecule: ribosomal RNA, 253 nt
Filed under: uncultured bacterium
Lineage: Bacteria
Description: partial 16S ribosomal RNA
Rfam family: Bacterial small subunit ribosomal RNA
Source: RNAcentral
UACGUAGGGUGCGAGCGUUGUCCGGAAUUAUUGGGCGUAAAGAGCUCGUAGGCGGUGUGUCACGUCGUUCGUGAAAACCUGCAGCUUAACUGUGGGCGUGCGGUCGAUACGGGCAGGCUAGAGUUCGGUAGGGGAGACUGGAAUUCCUGGUGUAGCGGUGAAAUGCGCAGAUAUCAGGAGGAACACCGAUGGCGAAGGCAGGUCUCUGGGCCGAUACUGACGCUGAGGAGCGAAAGCGUGGGGAGCGAACAGG